CAGUGACAGGACUGGACAGCAGACCUGCAGAGUUUCACACAAUCCUGACCUCUCCAGUGGUGGCUGUCAAUGCCUGAGUACCGACCUGAGAGACCCUCUGCUCUUUCUGAAGGAAUGUGGAAGCCCCCACAACCUGGCAGAAGUGGAGAAACCAGCUCGGCCAGAGGACCAAGAGGUACAGGAGGCCCAGGCAUGACCUAUGGGAUUCCACUACGAACUGUUCUUUAA
This is a non-coding RNA of Castor canadensis (American beaver), 228 nucleotides long. Lineage: Eukaryota; Metazoa; Chordata; Mammalia; Rodentia; Castoridae. The record is from RefSeq and is a predicted model, not a curated record.